GUGGAGGGCGCGUGCUACCAUGCAGUCGAACGAUGAUGCCCAGCUUGCUGGGCGGAUUAGUGGCGAACGGGUGAGUAAUACGUGAGUAACCUGCCCUUGACUCUGGGAUAAGCCUGGGAAACUGGGUCUAAUACUGGAUACUACCUCUUACCGCAUGGUGGGUGGUGGAAAGGGUUUUACUGGUUUUGGAUGGGCUCACGGCCUAUCAGCUUGUUGGUGGGGUAAUGGCUCACCAAGGCGACGACGGGUAGCCGGCCUGAGAGGGUGACCGGCCACACUGGGACUGAGACACGGCCCAGACUCCUACGGGAGGCAGCAGUGGGGAAUAUUGCACAAUGGGCGGAAGCCUGAUGCAGCGACGCCGCGUGAGGGAUGACGGCCUUCGGGUUGUAAACCUCUUUCAGUAGGGAAGAAGCGAGAGUGACGGUACCUGCAGAAGAAGCGCCGGCUAACUACGUGCCAGCAGCCGCGGUAAUACGUAGGGCGCAAGCGUUGUCCGGAAUUAUUGGGCGUAAAGAGCUCGUAGGCGGUUUGUCGCGUCUGCUGUGAAAGCCCGGGGCUCAACCCCGGGUCUGCAGUGGGUACGGGCAGACUAGAGUGCAGUAGGGGAGACUGGAAUUCCUGGUGUAGCGGUGAAAUGCGCAGAUAUCAGGAGGAACACCGAUGGCGAAGGCAGGUCUCUGGGCUGUUACUGACGCUGAGGAGCGAAAGCAUGGGGAGCGAACAGGAUUAGAUACCCUGGUAGUCCAUGCCGUAAACGUUGGGCACUAGGUGUGGGGGACAUUCCACGUUUUCCGCGCCGUAGCUAACGCAUUAAGUGCCCCGCCUGGGGAGUACGGCCGCAAGGCUAAAACUCAAAGGAAUUGACGGGGGCCCGCACAAGCGGCGGAGCAUGCGGAUUAAUUCGAUGCAACGCGAAGAACCUUACCAAGGCUUGACAUUCACCGGACCGCCCCAGAGAUGGGGUUUCCCUUCGGGGCUGGUGGACAGGUGGUGCAUGGUUGUCGUCAGCUCGUGUCGUGAGAUGUUGGGUUAAGUCCCGCAACGAGCGCAACCCUCGUUCUAUGUUGCCAGCACGUGAUGGUGGGGACUCAUAGGAGACUGCCGGGGUCAACUCGGAGGAAGGUGGGGAUGACGUCAAAUCAUCAUGCCCCUUAUGUCUUGGGCUUCACGCAUGCUACAAUGGCCGGUACAAAGGGUUGCGAUACUGUGAGGUGGAGCUAAUCCCAAAAAGCCGGUCUCAGUUCGGAUUGAGGUCUGCAACUCGACCUCAUGAAGUCGGAGUCGCUAGUAAUCGCAGAUCAGCAACGCUGCGGUGAAUACGUUCCCGGGCCUUGUACACACCGCCCGUCAAGUCACGAAAGUUGGUAACACCCGAAGCCGGUGGCCUAACCCCUUGUGGGAGGGAGCCGUCGAAGGUGGACGGCGAGG
Molecule: ribosomal RNA, 1431 nt
Filed under: Kocuria sp. AB61
Lineage: Bacteria; Bacillati; Actinomycetota; Actinomycetes; Micrococcales; Micrococcaceae
Description: bacterial SSU rRNA
Rfam family: Bacterial small subunit ribosomal RNA
Source: RNAcentral